UACAGAGGUCCCGAGCGUUGUUCGGAUUCACUGGGCGUAAAGGGUGCGUAGGUGGUGAGGUAAGUCGGAUGUGAAAUCUCCGGGCUCAACCUGGGAACUGCAUUUGUGACUGCAUCGCUGGAGUGCGGCAGAGGGGGAUGGAAUUCCGCGUGUAGCAGUGAAAUGCGUAGAUAUGCGGAGGAACACCGAUGGCGAAGGCAAUCCCCCUGGGCCUGCACUGACGCUCAUGCACGAAAGCGUGGGGAGCAAACAGG
This 254-nucleotide ribosomal RNA is filed under the name uncultured bacterium. Its description in RNAcentral is "partial 16S ribosomal RNA". It matches the Rfam family "Bacterial small subunit ribosomal RNA", at positions 524 to 776 of the family's 1533-position model. The record is from RNAcentral.